Molecule: long non-coding RNA, 1079 nt
Organism: Lutra lutra (Eurasian river otter)
Lineage: Eukaryota; Metazoa; Chordata; Mammalia; Carnivora; Mustelidae
Exons: 4
Source: RefSeq, a predicted model, not a curated record
GAGGAAUGGUCAGGGUCAUUUCCUAUGAGAGAGGUCUGCUGACAACACAUUCUAUCAGCUUUUUAUUUGAAGGUGCUAAGGAUCAGAGCCAUUAAGUGACCCAGCCAAGAACAAAGUAAAUGAUGGACAACCAAGAGGCAAACACUUAAUGGACAAUAAUGGAGAGAGUACAAAUGCAUUGAGGGCUGAACUCUGCAGUCAAGACUGGUCAUCAUCGAGAAGAUGAAAAUAUGCCUUAUGGUAAGGAUACUGCCAGUCUCAAGAGUGAGGGAAAGGAAGAGGCGGAGUCUUCAGGCCAGAGCGUGUACUGCAUCCAAGAAAUGAGAAAUGAGUUGGCAACUGGGGAACGAGGUCUCUUCCAUCAAGAACGCCAGUUGCCAAAGUAAAAUAAGGAAACUGAUUUUGUUUGUUGAAGACAGAGGAGACAAGAUAAUUCUGAUUUGGGGACUUCUCCCUGUCCAGUGUUUAGCCACUGUUAGCAAGAACUGGAACCUGACUUCCACAGGUAGUCUUCUAAAUGUUUUAAAUGGUCAUCAACCACAGCAAGUGAAGGAUUCCAGCUGAACUCAGGGGUGAACAAUGAGGCUCAGGAAGCACCUUUUCUGGAAUUAUGGAAAACACACAAACAAACCCAGAAGUAGAAGAGAAAUAUUUGAGAAGGUCUAACUCUAUAAAGACUUGUUCUCAGGCUGGUGAAUGCUUCUGACAACAUGUAUUCAAUUGCAUUUCUAAGACUGGAACUCAAACUACAUUAAGUUAAGUCUCAAGAGCCCUUUUAUAUAGUCACACUAUUACGGAGUUUUGAAAUUUUUGAUUCAUCUUGGAGUAUUCUAUUAAGCUUUUUUUCCCAAGAGAAGUACACGUGUAGACUUUUGGGGCAUUUUCAUAUCGGAGAAUGUCUUUGUGGAUGUUCCUGAGUCAUAAUCCUGUCCUUACAAACUCCAUAGCCAUUUCUCUAAUGUGUUUUGCCAAUUGGGGUUGCUGGGGAGACAUCUUAAGUCAGCAUUUUGGGGGUGUAUUUGUAAACAAUUGGUAAUUUCUUCUUGAUCUCUUGUCCAUAUUUUUUCCUCCUCAUUUUU